This 67-nucleotide transfer RNA is filed under the name Marmota monax (woodchuck). RNAcentral describes it as "tRNA.Ala". It matches the Rfam family "tRNA", at positions 6 to 65 of the family's 71-position model. Rfam says of the family: Transfer RNA (tRNA) molecules are approximately 80 nucleotides in length. Their secondary structure includes four short double-helical elements and three loops (D, anti-codon, and T loops). Lineage: Eukaryota; Metazoa; Chordata; Mammalia; Rodentia; Sciuridae. The record is from RNAcentral.
GGAUGUGGCUCAGUGGUAGAGUGCUUGCCUAGCAUAUAUGAGUCCCUGGGUUCUAUCCCCAGCACCA